Molecule: long non-coding RNA, 834 nt
Organism: Bombus pascuorum
Lineage: Eukaryota; Metazoa; Arthropoda; Insecta; Hymenoptera; Apidae
Exons: 3
Source: RefSeq, a predicted model, not a curated record
UACAACUCGAAGGGCUUCGAGUCGACUUUCGCGACUCUUACUUCCGCCACGGUUUCGAGUGAAAUCGUGCACGAUUGACGCGCGCUCGUGUAGCGAAGCUUAAGUUUAAUUGAGACGUCGAAGUAUGUUUACGCGAUCCGUAUGUUUAGAAUACCGUGUCCCGUGGAGCCGAACUGUGAAACAUUAGAUAGUGUGCGUGUAUAUAAGCGAACGUGGUUGAACGGUUGUGUGAGCACGCAACGGCAUAAAUGUAUUUACGAUCCAUCGUAACCUUUGUGAGCAGUUGGAUACAACAUGGAUGCGACGGAAAACACGAGUUCCUGCGUUCUCGCGUUGCUACCAACUCUCUCCUACGGAUCGCAGGUUAGCGCAAUCGCAAAUACAACGAUCGUUCAGCUCUACUGGUCGUGCAGCUAAUUUUUCCAACGACGUAAUCGGACUUACAGCAAGUGAAGCGACGUCGUCGUUUCAGGUGUUUCCCCGUGACCGGUCAGACGUAGAUGCGUUCGUUAAACUCGAAACGUGACUGCACCGGUCGAUAGUGAGAGGGACAGAAGCAGGAUCGAAGAAGCGAGAGAACGCGGAAAGCUGAAAAUCCGCAUAUUCACAAAGAGCACGCACUCUCCUAAUCGCAUUAACUGGCGAUGGGGAUCGGUCAAAGGACUUCUUCUCGCUGUUCCGGGAAAGAAACACGGAAGCGAUCGGAAAAUCACGUUUUCUUGUUCGCGCUGCUAAAUUAUUUAAGAAAUCUCAUUGGAAAACGGGUUGGCAGCUGAGUGGUUCUCGUGGAGCGGAAUCAAGAGAUAAGAGUUUAUCGGACAGAUAGGCCGGAAG